Molecule: long non-coding RNA, 747 nt
Organism: Gasterosteus aculeatus aculeatus (three-spined stickleback)
Lineage: Eukaryota; Metazoa; Chordata; Actinopteri; Perciformes; Gasterosteidae
Source: Ensembl
GUGCAUUCGAAACAGCAAACCAGGGCAUAUGGCAGGGGAUCAAAAUCCAAUAUGCCGCAUAUCCGGGUCCAAAUCUUCUCUUACAAUGAGUUAAGGAGAACAGAUGAGUCCUGACCGCUUUUACAGCCGGCGAUGUGGGAGGUUCUUCCCUCCUUCAGGUGGAGCAGGAAUCAUUUUUCAGGAAAUUAUACAUUUAAAUCUGAAGCACCUUUGAAUGGUGAAAUUCCAAAGUGAUCUGGGACACCAAGGCAGCAUCGGUGGCAUCGGUGGCAGAGUUUAUCUGCUCUGCAACCGCAUGAGUUGAACUCGGCCCACUACAAUCACCUGCUCUGUCAGGCAAUGUGCAGAAGACAUGGCAACCUUUGUGAUGCAUGGACACGGCCCAGCACGGCCGCACAGCUCGCAGGGUAUUAUUAACCGCCUUUUAACACACGUGCAGUGAACUGGUGUGUUUAACCACGGCCGUACGAAGGCGGUCCACCGAGAGCGGUCAAAGGCCUUCCACCGCGAGGCGCGUGUCCGGCAGUACGUUGACCCAGAGGGGUGAGUCGUGACCGGCAGCGGGAGGCCUUUUCGACAGACCGGACUCGACUGCUCUCGUCCUCUGCCAAAGGAGCUGGGAGUCAAGCGGCUGCAACGAGCGCGGCUUAUGGCUUCGUGCCGCGUGAGCAGGGCUCACCGCCUGACUGCCGAGCUGCAUUUUUCCACCAGCUCCAAGCCAAAGGUUUUCGUUUCGGUGUGUCUUGU